Molecule: long non-coding RNA, 309 nt
Organism: Dromaius novaehollandiae (emu)
Lineage: Eukaryota; Metazoa; Chordata; Aves; Casuariiformes; Dromaiidae
Exons: 3
Source: RefSeq, a predicted model, not a curated record
CGGAGAUUGCCUCUGAGUAUUUGUGGUUUCCUCUUCCCCGGGACUUCCGAAUGCUUGUGUGGAGGGAACAGAUAACUGUGAAGUUACCAGCUUUUCAUGCCCCUACAGCUGUUUUGUGUGGAGACCUGCCCUCCAGACUGCCUAAGACCUGAUUCGUACAUUUGUACCAAAAUGAUUUGCAUGCUGCGCAGAAAGGCAGAUGAGUUUGUUUGGCUAUUCCAGAAGAAGUGAUUUAGGAAGCUGGACUGUGUUUUGAGAUUUGGAGCCUGUCAGUAUAUCAUACUGAAAUGUUUGCUUUGUUUUUAUAAA